This 979-nucleotide ribosomal RNA is filed under the name uncultured bacterium. RNAcentral's name for it is "bacterial SSU rRNA". It matches the Rfam family "Bacterial small subunit ribosomal RNA", at positions 363 to 1352 of the family's 1533-position model. The record is from RNAcentral.
CUUGCACAAUGGCCGAAGCUGAUGCAGCGACGCCGCGUGAGGGAUGACGGCUUUCGGGCGCAAACCUCUUUCAGUUGGGACGAAGCCCUUCGGGGUGACGGUACCUUCAGAAGAAGCACCGGCUAACUACGUGCCAGCAGCCGCGGUAAUACGUAGGGUGCGAGCGUUAUCCGGAAUUAUUGGGCGUAAAGAGCUCGUAGGCGGUUUGUCACGUCUGCUGUGAAAGCUCGGGGCUUAACCUCGAGUUUGCAGUGGGUACGGGCAGGCUAGAGUGCAGUAGGGGAGACUGGAAUUCCUGGUGUAGCGGUGAAAUGCGCAGAUAUCAGGAGGAACACCGAUGGCGAAGGCAGGUCUCUGGGCUGUUACUGACACUGAGGAGCGAAAGCAUGGGGAGCGAACAGGAUUAGAUACCCUGGUAGUCCAUGCCGUAAACGUUGGGCACUAGGUGUGGGGAACAUUUCCACGUUUUCCGCGCCGUAGCUAACGCAUUAAAUGCCCCGCCUGGGGAGUACGGCCGCAAGGCUAAAACUCAAAGGAAUUGACGGGGGCCCGCACAAGCGGCGGAGCAUGCGGAUUAAUUCGAUGCAACGCGAAGAACCUUACCAAGGCUUGACAUGCACUAGAUCGCCCUAGAGAUAGGGUUUCCCUUCGGGGCUGGUGUACAGGUGGUGCAUGGUUGUCGUCAGCUCGUGUCGUGAGAUGUUGGGUUAAGUCCCGCAACGAGCGGAACCCCUAUUCUAUGUUGCCAGCAAUUCGGUUGGGGACUCAUGGAAGACUGCCGGGGUCAACUCGGAGGAAGGUGGGGACGACGUCAAAUCAUCAUGCCCCUUAUGUCUUGGGCUUCACGCAUGCUACAAUGGCCGGCACAAUGGGUUGCGAGACUGUGAGGUUGAGCUAAUCCCAUAAAACCGGUCUCAGUUCGGAUUGGGGUCUGCAACUCGACCCCAUGAAGUCGGAGUCGCUAGUAAUCGCAGAUCAG